GGUCUUUUAUACAUAAAGAUAGAUGUUGAGAAAAGUGAGACAACCCCUAUUAGCAAUUUAGCACAUUGGAGAUGUUGAAUGGCUUGCAGCUGUCAUUGGCUGUAGGAUAAGGUCACUGCCUACGUUUGGCUCUUUCUUUAAGUUCUUCAUAAGCCAUAGGCAUUUUGGAUUCCAUACUGCUUGUCUUUGUCGUGAAGACUGGCGGGUUACAAUAAGUAAUACUUUUUCAGAGGGAGUUUAGAUUGGCAAUAAUUAUUAGUGUAAUGAGUCAUUGUACUUUCCAGAAGAUUCGUCGACCUGGGAUGAAGAGGAAGUUGUAACACUGUCACAUUUCUGUUUUAUUGAGGGACUGCAUGUAUUAUUUUUGUUGAGUGUGCUGGAAUAAUUUUAAUUUUGCUUUUGUAAUUUCGUUUCUGCUUGUGCUCCAAUUCUUUGGCAGGUUCCAUGUCUUAUCAGAUUUUGAUGAAGGUAAGCGAAGUUGUCGAAGAAAACUAGAGCGUCAUAAUAAUAGACGACGAAGGAAACCUACUAAUUCCAAAGGAGGGAUUAGAAAGGAAUCUCAAAGGGAAAUUCAAAUUGAAGAUACCAAUUGUGAUGGUGGAGCAGGAGAAGACAGUAUACGGUUAAGCAGUCAGUUAAAUGACAAGGAAGAAUUGCCGGAGUCUGAA
Non-coding RNA from Prunus avium (sweet cherry), 668 nucleotides. Lineage: Eukaryota; Viridiplantae; Streptophyta; Magnoliopsida; Rosales; Rosaceae. The record is from RefSeq and is a predicted model, not a curated record.